RNAcentral lists this ribosomal RNA (253 nucleotides) under uncultured bacterium. RNAcentral describes it as "partial 16S ribosomal RNA". It matches the Rfam family "Bacterial small subunit ribosomal RNA", at positions 524 to 776 of the family's 1533-position model. The record is from RNAcentral.
UACGUAGGGGGCAAGCGUUGUCCGGAGUUAUUGGGCGUAAAGAGCGUGUAGGCGGUCAGGUAGGUCCGUUGUGAAAACUCGAGGCUCAACCUCGAGACGCCGAUGGAAACCAUCUGACUAGAGUCCGGAAGAGGAGAGUGGAAUUCCUGGUGUAGCGGUGAAAUGCGCAGAUAUCAGGAGGAACACCGGUGGCGAAGGCGGUUCUCUGGGAAUAUCCUGACGCUGAGGAGCGAAAGUGUGGGGAGCGAACAGG